This 617-nucleotide ribosomal RNA is filed under the name uncultured bacterium. RNAcentral describes it as "bacterial SSU rRNA". It matches the Rfam family "Bacterial small subunit ribosomal RNA", at positions 63 to 671 of the family's 1533-position model. The record is from RNAcentral.
CGAGCGGUAACAUUUCUAGCUUGCUAGAAGAUGACGAGCGGCGGACGGGUGAGUAAUGCUUGGGAAUAUGCCUUAUGGUGGGGGACAACAGUUGGAAACGACUGCUAAUACCGCAUAAUGUCUACGGACCAAAGGGGGGGAUCUUCGGACCUCUCGCCAUUUGAUUAGCCCAAGUGAGAUUAGCUAGUUGGUGAGGUAAUGGCUCACCAAGGCGACGAUCUCUAGCUGGUUUGAGAGGAUGAUCAGCCACACUGGGACUGAGACACGGCCCAGACUCCUACGGGAGGCAGCAGUGGGGAAUAUUGCACAAUGGGCGCAAGCCUGAUGCAGCCAUGCCGCGUGUGUGAAGAAGGCCUUCGGGUUGUAAAGCACUUUCAGUAAGGAGGAAAGGGAUGUAGUUAAUAACUGCAUUCUGUGACGUUACUUACAGAAGAAGCACCGGCUAACUUCGUGCCAGCAGCCGCGGUAAUACGAGGGGUGCAAGCGUUAAUCGGAAUUACUGGGCGUAAAGCGUUCGUAGGCGGUUGAUUAAGCAAGAUGUGAAAGCCCAGGGCUCAACCUUGGAACUGCAUUUUGAACUGGUCAACUAGAGUACUGUAGAGGGUGGUGGAAUUUCC